RNAcentral lists this ribosomal RNA (253 nucleotides) under uncultured bacterium. RNAcentral's name for it is "partial 16S ribosomal RNA". It matches the Rfam family "Bacterial small subunit ribosomal RNA", at positions 524 to 776 of the family's 1533-position model. The record is from RNAcentral.
UACGAAGGGGGCUAGCGUUGCUCGGAAUUACUGGGCGUAAAGCGCACGUAGGCGGCUUUCUAAGUCGGGGGUGAAAUCCUGGAGCUCAACUCCAGAACUGCCUUCGAUACUGGAGAGCUCGAGUCCGGGAGAGGUGAGUGGAACUGCGAGUGUAGAGGUGAAAUUCGUAGAUAUUCGCAAGAACACCGGUGGCGAAGGCGGCCUGCUGGGCAGUGGCUGACGCUGAGGCGCGAAAGCGUGGGGAGCAAACAGG